Sebastes umbrosus (honeycomb rockfish) is the source of this 163-nucleotide long non-coding RNA. RefSeq lists it as uncharacterized. The transcript is spliced from 3 exons. Lineage: Eukaryota; Metazoa; Chordata; Actinopteri; Perciformes; Sebastidae. The record is from RefSeq and is a predicted model, not a curated record.
GUCACGCCCCUUGGCGCUUUGUUUUCGGCAAAUCCACUAUAUUUAGGUUUAGGAAAGAACUACAUGAUAGGGCUUAAAACUGCUACGUUUGUACAGAGAAAAUUACACUGAAUGUUGUGAACACGGGACACGAACACACAGCUGAUUGUUACGUUUAGGAAAC